GAUGAACGCUGGCGGCGUGCCUAAUACAUGCAAGUAGAACGCUGAAGCUUGGUGCUUGCACCGAGCGGAUGAGUUGCGAACGGGUGAGUAACGCGUAGGUAACCUGCCUCUUAGCGGGGGAUAACUAUUGGAAACGAUAGCUAAUACCGCAUAAAAGUCGAUAUCGCAUGAUAUUGAUUUGAAAGGUGCAAAUGCAUCACUAAGAGAUGGACCUGCGUUGUAUUAGCUAGUUGGUGAGGUAACGGCUCACCAAGGCGACGAUACAUAGCCGACCUGAGAGGGUGAUCGGCCACACUGGGACUGAGACACGGCCCAGACUCCUACGGGAGGCAGCAGUAGGGAAUCUUCGGCAAUGGGGGCAAACCUGACCGAGCAACGCCGCGUGAGUGAAGAAGGUUUUCGGAUCGUAAAGCUCUGUUGUAAGAGAAGAACGAGUGUGAGAGUGGAAAGUUCACACUGCGACGGUAACUUACCAGAAAGGGACGGCUAACUACGUG
This 497-nucleotide ribosomal RNA is filed under the name uncultured bacterium. RNAcentral describes it as "partial 16S ribosomal RNA". It matches the Rfam family "Bacterial small subunit ribosomal RNA", at positions 28 to 507 of the family's 1533-position model. The record is from RNAcentral.